GAUGAACGCUGGCGGCGUGCUUAACACAUGCAAGUCGAACGAUGAAGCCCAGCUUGCUGGGUGGAUUAGUGGCGAACGGGUGAGUAACACGUGAGUAACCUGCCCUUAACUCUGGGAUAAGCCUGGGAAACUGGGUCUAAUACCGGAUAGGAGCGUCCACCGCAUGGUGGGUGUUGGAAAGAUUUAUCGGUUUUGGAUGGACUCGCGGCCUAACAGCUUGUUGGUGAGGUAAUGGCUCACCAAGGCGACGACGGGUAGCCAGCCUGAGAGGGUGACCGGCCACACUGGGACUGAGACACGGCCCAGACUCCUACGGGAGGCAGCAGUGGGGAAUAUUGCACAAUGGGCGCAAGCCUGAUGCAGCGACGCCGCGUGAGGGAUGACGGCCUUCGGGUUGUAAACCUCUUUCAGUAGGGAAGAAGCGAAAGUGACGGUACCUGCAGAAGAAGCACCGGCUAACUACGUG
RNAcentral lists this ribosomal RNA (466 nucleotides) under uncultured bacterium. RNAcentral describes it as "partial 16S ribosomal RNA". It matches the Rfam family "Bacterial small subunit ribosomal RNA", at positions 28 to 507 of the family's 1533-position model. The record is from RNAcentral.